This 1218-nucleotide long non-coding RNA is filed under the name Monodelphis domestica (gray short-tailed opossum). Its description in RNAcentral is "lncRNA (ENSMODG00000041039.1)". The record is from RNAcentral. Lineage: Eukaryota; Metazoa; Chordata; Mammalia; Didelphimorphia; Didelphidae.
CUACAAGAUCACUUUUCAAAUGCUUGAAAUGAUCUCCAUCUUCACAUUGGCCCUCAUUUUCCCAGCCAAGCCUUCACUCCUCCUGGCUAAAUAUCUCCAGUUUUUCAACUUCUCAUAUGGCACAGAGUCAGGACUCUUGUAGCAUCUUUGUCAGCCUCCUUUGGAUGGUCUCUAGCUCAUCAAUUUCCUUCUAAAAUAUGGUACCCAGAGCUGAACAUAGUACUGCAAAUGCAGCCUGAGCUAGAGAAGACCUUGUCCAGAGAAGUCUGUGACACCAGAGUGGAGGCCUGGUGGAAGUCUGGCCAAAGCCUCCACGUGUGGCAGCAGCUUCUGUAGUUUCUCAGCCCAGAGACUAUAUGACAAGUGCUCAGGAGGAGAUUACAGAGGAUCCUUUGCUGGCACAGGGGCCCUCCUUCAUCUGUCAGCCAGUGAAAUUCAUGCUGCUCUAGGAACAGGAUCCUACCUAGGAGGGAACUGAAGACUACCGGAGACCCAACUGGUCAAGAAGUUCUCUUUUGGCUCUGUGGAUGGUGCAGUUCUCCCCUCCCCAAUCCAUUGCCCAAUGGGUAGAGAAAUUCAAGUUUAUUGAAAACUACCAAGAAAAAGAAGAAAUCGUUCAUUCUCCUGGAGGCCAUUUGCAGAAGGUAAGGACUGUGGAAGAGGCAUGGAGGAAGAAAGAAUUUCAAGCAUGCAAGAAACAAAGCUGGGCUCCUGAUCUGUCAAUCAAGGUGAAGAUUCCAAAACAGAAUGUUCCCAGGAAAGGCAGUUGGGAGCCUGGCCAGAGGAGAUGAACUGAAAAACUUCUCUGGGGUUACUGACCAAGGGAGAGACUUCUUCUUUGGGGUUACUGACUAAAGGAAAAACUUCUCUGGGGUUACUGACCAAGGGAGAAACUUUUUCUCUGGGGUUCCUGACCAAGGGAGACUGAUUUCAUCUGUCCUAGGUUGAAGGACCUUUGGGGGAGGGGGGCUUCUGGAAUUAACCUGAGAAGAAAUUAAACUUUGUUGGUGGCUUUGUAUAAUUGGAAGAAGAAAUAAGAUUUAACAGUUGUUCUUCAUCUCUCUGACUGUCUCUGAGUCAACAGUUGUGACUGGACUGACAUUUCCCAAACCCUCCUAAUUCUCCUUAUAGAUUAAGGUCACCCCUAUCCCUUUCACCUCAAUUCCCAUCCUGUUUGUUCCCAAUAAACCCCUUUACUUGAGAAAGGAAAAGGAAGGA